This 992-nucleotide long non-coding RNA is filed under the name Agrilus planipennis (emerald ash borer). RNAcentral describes it as "uncharacterized LOC108741579, transcript variant X2". The record is from RNAcentral. Lineage: Eukaryota; Metazoa; Arthropoda; Insecta; Coleoptera; Buprestidae.
UCUUUAUUCGAUUUUCAUUUGAUUGUGUGGAAUACGUUUUUAUUUAGUGAUUGAUGGAUUUCGAUUACUGUUGCUUAGAUUUUUUUUGGCUGAACGACUUUGGUGGCGUGCAGUUUUAUUCUCCAACAUGGUGGUCUAUCAUGACAUCAUGCUUAUUCACUCAUCUACUUGUAAAUUUUUAUAGAUUAUUAGUUUAUUUAAGAUCGAAUAAUUAGGGAUUUGUUAAAAUUUUUGAAUUUUGAGAACAGUUUUAGGCGAUGAUUGUAGAAUUUUUAUAUUGAUGUGACUAUGUUGUAAAGAAUUGCUUCAUUUUAUAGCCAAAAUAAGUAAAAUAUUUCUCAAAAAUAUUAUUCUGCCUUCAAAAUUCAAUAUUGCCCUUAGAAAAAGUUUUAUUUUUGUCUUCUUAUUCUAGAGAUUGGGUUUUAACUUAUUUUUUUUUUCCCCUAUAAUAUAGGCUUGCUUUGAGCUAAUAUCCUUGGAUCAUCUGGAUGAACUACUUAGCUAUGGAAAAUCUGUGGCAGAGACAUAUUUCCAAAAAUGCUUUUAACAAGCUGCUGGUCGAGAAAUUCAUGUUAACAAUGUUGUUUCAACAGGUUUCCAUUACAACAUAAUAAAUAAACAUGGUAAAUCAAAAGGAAUCGAAACGUGGAGAAGCACACUUCACACUUGUUUCUCUUGGACUUGAAAAGGAGCUAUUUGUCGAAAGGGUUAUCAUUUAAACAAGGAGUCAAAAAAUAAGAAGGAUUCGACAUGUAGAGAAGUGGAGAUAUCAUCAUUCCUGGAUUAUAUUUUUGAUUUGCUGUUUUCGUCUUCAACUUGCAACAUGAUGGAGUGAAUUUUCAACAGAUGAAUGAGUGAGCAAGAGGAGAUUGAUUUGUUUGAAUUCCACCCCAAGUUUUUUGCUAUGGUAUUCCUCCUGGAUUUAGUUUGCUUUUCACACCUGCAAACCUGAGAAUGUUACAUUCCUCUGUUUAUUAAGAUCGACGGUGGAG